AUGAGGCCCUAUUUUGUGAAGAAUCCCACAUACCCCGAGUCCUACUUUCGUCACCGGUUUAGGAUGAGCACCGAGUUGUUCAGGCGCAUUACAGAGAAACUAGCAAGCUAUGACCGGUUUUUUCAGCAGAGGAGGAAUGCCGCCGGAGAGCUCGGGCAUAGCACCUUUCAGAAGGUGACAGCCGCUUUGCGUAUGUUGGCAUACGGUAUUCCGGCUGAUCUAGUUGAUGACCACUUGGCCAUGGGUGAGUGA
This 252-nucleotide ribosomal RNA is filed under the name Triticum aestivum (bread wheat). RNAcentral describes it as "partial small subunit ribosomal RNA". The record is from RNAcentral. Lineage: Eukaryota; Viridiplantae; Streptophyta; Magnoliopsida; Poales; Poaceae.